UACGUAUGGAGCGAGCGUUGUCCGGAAUUAUUGGGCGUAAAGGGUACGCAGGCGGUUUAAUAAGUCGAAUGUUAAAGAUCGGGGCUCAACCCCGUAAAGCAUUGGAAACUGAUAAACUUGAGUAGUGGAGAGGGAAGUGGAAUUCCUAGUGUAGUGGUGAAAUACGUAGAUAUUAGGAGGAAUACCAGUAGCGAAGGCGACUUUCUGGACACAAACUGACGCUGAGGUACGAAAGCGUGGGGAGCAAACAGGAUUAGAUACCCUGGUAGUC
Molecule: ribosomal RNA, 271 nt
Filed under: uncultured Eubacteriales bacterium
Lineage: Bacteria; Bacillati; Bacillota; Clostridia; Eubacteriales
Description: uncultured Clostridiales bacterium partial 16S ribosomal RNA
Rfam family: Bacterial small subunit ribosomal RNA
Source: RNAcentral